CAAGGAGAGGGUGGCAAAAGCAUCCGUAGAUUCAAAUGAUCUGCCUUGAUGAAGAUCUAAGAUCCAUUUGACCACUACAGUUGAAUCUCCCUCCAACCAAAUAGAUUUGAACCCAAACUGGAAAGUAGCGAUAGUAAGGCCUUUUCUUGCUGCAUGGAGCUCACCAAUUGGCACUAAAAGAGCUUGGGUCUUUCUCGAGGCUGCAAAUGAGACAUUACCAUUGU
RNAcentral lists this long non-coding RNA (224 nucleotides) under Elaeis guineensis (African oil palm). RNAcentral describes it as "long non-coding RNA (EGUI_LNC041508)". Lineage: Eukaryota; Viridiplantae; Streptophyta; Magnoliopsida; Arecales; Arecaceae. The record is from RNAcentral.